GGGAUUUGUCGGAUAUUUUCAGUUUAUAACUUCUCUGUGUAACACACUAUCGACAUUGUGACGAGCGACGACGUGUCAUCAGUGACGUAAGCCAGUUACUCGUGUAUAUUGCGACGUAAUAACUUUGAGUUACUUUUUUGAUCAUAAAUUAAUGCCUAAAAAAGUUGUUGAAGGUCAACCGAGAGGUAACGCCGUUGAUGCUACCCACAGACUUGGCUACCUACUCUACUCUUUCUCGAGAUGAGGAGAAGCAGGAAUAAAGUCACUGUAUAUAUUGUAUUGAUUAUCAAUAAAUAAAAAAUUCAAUGUUUAUUCAUCAAGUGGUGUAGCAGCUGUAAUGGGUUUCCUUCGAACUUUAUAAGAGAAUGUUGUAGGAGUAGUAAUGCUGUAUGUGGAUUUUAUAUAAGACAAAAAGUAUCAACACAAUUGUCAAGUUUACUUGGUACCAUAUCAGGACUACUAAAAAACUGCACGGGAAAAAAUGCUGGAGUAGAAUUUACCACACCAAACUAGUAAAAAUUUUACCACACUUUGUGGUCGCCGCAAUGACAACUGUUGUAACAUAAGCCACAGUGUGCGUGAUAUUUUACUACUAUAGGAGUUCUGCUUACUACUGUAAUGUGGUAAAACUUUGUAGUUUCCACAACUACUCAAUGUGGUAUAAAAUACUUGUUUUGUGGUUUUGGGAACCACACAAUUUUAUAUGAAUUGGUAUCUGUUACUAUUUUUGGAGUAUACAAUACCAGAUUACUUGUACAAUCUACUCCAAUGUGUGGUAAAAUAAUCGAAAGAAGAAAAUAACAGCGCCACCUGCAACUUUUUUACUCCAUUCUGUGGGUAUCCUCAACUUGUGUCAUUGUAUUUAUUAUUAUAAAUAAUAUUAUAAAACAUUAUAAAUAAUAAUAUAUAUAAUUUAAAAUAUUUAUAUAUAUAAUUAAAAAUCGAGGCGUGCAAUUAUAAUAUAUAUAAUUUAAAAAAUAUAUAUAUAUAACAAAUAUAAUACAAAAAAAUUUGUUU
Long non-coding RNA from Microplitis mediator, 1017 nucleotides. RefSeq lists it as uncharacterized. The transcript has 4 exons. The record is from RefSeq and is a predicted model, not a curated record. NCBI's taxonomy places the organism in Eukaryota, Metazoa, Arthropoda, Insecta, Hymenoptera, Braconidae.